GAUGAACGCUGGCGGCGUGCUUAACACAUGCAAGUCGAACGCUGAAGGCGGAGCUUGCUCUGCUGGAUCAGUUGCGAACGGGUGAGUAACACGUGAGUAAUCUGCCUCGGACCGUGGGAUAAGUGUUGGAAACGGUGUCUAAUACCGCAUAAGAGUAGCGAUUGCAUCAUAUGUACUUAGAAAGUACAUUGGUAAGGCAUGCGCAGGCGGCUUAGCAGCAUGUUGGUGAGGUAAGGGUACAGCAAGGCGUCGACGAGUAGCCAGCCUGAGAGGGUGACCGGGCCCACUGGGACAGAGACACGGCCCGGAGUCCUACGGGAGGCAGCGGUGGGGGAUAGUGCACGAUGGGCGAAGGCCUGAUGCAGCAACGCCGCAUGGGGGAGGACGGCCUUAAGGUUGUAAACCUCGUUUAGCAGGGAAGAAGCGAAAGUGACGGUACCUGCAGAAAAAGCGCCGGCUAACUACGUG
Molecule: ribosomal RNA, 468 nt
Filed under: uncultured bacterium
Lineage: Bacteria
Description: partial 16S ribosomal RNA
Rfam family: Bacterial small subunit ribosomal RNA
Source: RNAcentral